Molecule: unclassified non-coding RNA, 333 nt
Filed under: soil metagenome
Description: partial contains 5.8S ribosomal RNA, internal transcribed spacer 2, and large subunit ribosomal RNA
Rfam family: 5.8S ribosomal RNA (bases 1-121)
Source: RNAcentral
GAUGAAGAACGUAGUGAAAUGCGAUAAGUAAUGCGAAUUGCAGAAUUUCCGUGAGUCAUCGAAUCUUUGAACGCACAUUGCGCCCACUGGUAUUCCGGGGGGCAUGCCUGUUCGAGCGUCAUUUCACCACUCAAGCCUCGCUUGGUAUUGGGCGACGCGGUCCGCCGCGCGCCUCAAAUCGACCGGCUGGGUCUUCCGUCCCCUCAGCGUUGUGGAAACUAUUCGCUAAAGGGUGCCGCGGGAGGUCACGCCGAAAAACAACCCCAUUUCUAAGGUUGACCUCGGAUCAGGUAGGGAUACCCGCUGAACUUAAGCAUAUCAAUAAGCGGAGGA